RNAcentral lists this long non-coding RNA (914 nucleotides) under Lathyrus oleraceus (garden pea). RNAcentral describes it as "Pisum sativum (pea) long non-coding RNA (PSAT_LNC033488)". Lineage: Eukaryota; Viridiplantae; Streptophyta; Magnoliopsida; Fabales; Fabaceae. The record is from RNAcentral.
ACCUACAAAACAAUGUUAUAUUAGUGUACAAAUAUCAACAACACCAAUUAAAAUUGAUUUGGAUCAUUAUCCAUGUGCCUUGCUUUUUGAUCCUGAAAAAUCAAGCAAAUAUUAGCAACUAGACCACUAGGCCAAGCCUAGGGUCCAAAAGCAAUAAAAAACUUAAAACAGCAAGGUAUCCACCAUCCAACAUCAAAUUAUCAUCAAACACAAGCAAACAUCAUUGGUCUCAUGUUUAUAUCAUCCAUCAUAUUCAAUUCAUGCACAAAACAAGUCCAUAGGUGGUGUUCAAAUGAAAGCCACCGAAUAUUAUUUACAAUACAGAUAUAGUAUUUGCAUUCAAUAGCAUUGCCAAACUCAUUUUCAAAGAAGAUCUUCAAUUAAAUACACGAUAAACUAGGGGGUCAAAUCAAGGGUCUACCAUGUCAAAUUUGAGCUCAAUUGGGCAAAUGAAACCAUGUCAAUGAAAAUCAACAAAAACAGACACAAUUUCAUGCUUCAAUUCACAACAUCAGCACAUGCUUCCACUUCAAAAAUUCAUAUCUCAAUGAAAACAAAAAAGAAAUGGAUGAGACCAAAACAGGGAUGUCACAUUAUGUGUCUACAACAUUCAUAUCAAAUUUCAUGGCCAUACAAUACAAUAUGAGGAUUUCCCAAUCAAUCUACCAACCUAUGUCACAUGAGCUUGCAUAAAUGAUCACCAGAGAUGAAAAAUAGCAAUCAAUUUGAAAAUGCCACAUAAAAUUCCACAAAAAUUCACAUAGCAUUUUGACAUGUUAAUCAACCAUCAUGCAAAAUUUCACAUUAAUCCAACAAGUAUAUGUCACUCAAAAAAAUUCAACAAGUUGACAUCAAGAGGUGUGACACAAAUUGUCACACCUAAGUUCCAGAAUUUGCUGCUCUCUAACCAGGUA